GUGAUGUGUUUAGUGGCCCCCUCAGCGAUUAAUGAGCACGGGUAGGGGGUGCUGA
Molecule: small nucleolar RNA, 55 nt
Filed under: Pyrobaculum aerophilum str. IM2
Lineage: Archaea; Thermoproteati; Thermoproteota; Thermoprotei; Thermoproteales; Thermoproteaceae
Description: PAEsR100
Source: RNAcentral